Long non-coding RNA from Apis florea (little honeybee), 332 nucleotides. The record is from RefSeq and is a predicted model, not a curated record. Lineage: Eukaryota; Metazoa; Arthropoda; Insecta; Hymenoptera; Apidae.
AGGGAGGGCGCUGGCGUAAAAAUGAUGGCGCGGGCGUCGCAUAGGGAUCCGGGGAAAGUAAGUGUACAGGCGUAGCGAGCGGCGUUAACGAGUAGCAUCGCUCAGCCGGAGCUUAAACCCUCGUUAGGAAGCUAACAACCGGCCAUACGUCUUGUAAAUCGGACCGAGCGUUCCACCGAUCUGCCAAUUUAUGCGGUCGUCGAACGCGACGGGCGCCGGAACAAUCGAUAAGAUCCGAGUCGGUAACAAUUAUCCACCGAGUCGAGCGAGAUCGGUCGAUCAAAAUACCCGAGCGUUUAGAUCGGAUCUCAAUUAGGAGGCGGACUCUCGGG